UUUUAGCCGCGGGUGAAGCGACAUCCUUUUUUUGCUCUAAAUAAAAUAUCUUUUUAUAUGAAAUAUUGAAAGCAAAAAAAGAUAUAGCGGAACACGGGAAGACAU
RNAcentral lists this small RNA (105 nucleotides) under Halpernia frigidisoli. RNAcentral's name for it is "Flavo-1 RNA". It matches the Rfam family "Flavo-1 RNA". The record is from Rfam by way of RNAcentral. Lineage: Bacteria; Pseudomonadati; Bacteroidota; Flavobacteriia; Flavobacteriales; Weeksellaceae.